This 2253-nucleotide ribosomal RNA is filed under the name Clostridioides difficile. RNAcentral's name for it is "partial 23S ribosomal RNA". It matches the Rfam family "Bacterial large subunit ribosomal RNA", at positions 26 to 2301 of the family's 2925-position model. The record is from RNAcentral. Lineage: Bacteria; Bacillati; Bacillota; Clostridia; Peptostreptococcales; Peptostreptococcaceae.
GGAUGCCUUGGCACUAGGAGCCGAUGAAGGACGUGAUAAGCUGCGAUAAGCUUCGGGGAGUUGCACGUAAACUUUGAUCCGAAGAUUUCCGAAUGAGGAAACUCACUUAGAGUAAUGUCUAAGUAUCAUUAAGUGAAUACAUAGCUUAAUGAGGGGAACUCAGGGAACUGAAACAUCUAAGUACCUGAAGGAAGAGAAAGAAAUUCGAUUCCGUAAGUAGCGGCGAGCGAACGCGGAUUAGCCCAAACCAAUAAAGUUUUCUUUAUUGGGGUUGCGGACAUAUCAUAACGAAGAGGUAUCGUAAUUGAAGAGGUUUGGAAAGACCCACCACAGAAGGUAAUAGUCCUGUAUGUUAAACGAGAAGACUUCAGAUAUGAUCCAGAGUACCACGGGACACGUGAAACCCUGUGGGAAGCAGGAGGGACCACCCUCCAAGGCUAAAUACUACCUAGUGACCGAUAGCGUAUAGUACCGUGAGGGAAAGGUGAAAAGAACCCCGGGAGGGGAGUGAAAUAGAACCUGAAACCCUGCACUUACAAGCUGUGGAAGCACAUUUCUUGUGUGACCGCGUACUUUUUGUAGAACGGGCCAACGAGUUACGUUAAGUAGCAAGGUUAAGCACUUAAGGUGCGGAGCCGUAGCGAAAGCGAGUUUUAACUGAGCGUUCAGUUACUUGACGUAGACCCGAAACCGGGCGACCUACCCAUGAGCAGGAUGAAGCGAAAGUAAAAUUUCGUGGAGGUCCGAACCCACGAGCGUUGAAAAGCUCGGGGAUGACUUGUGGGUAGCGGUGAAAUUCCAAUCGAGCCCGGAGAUAGCUGGUUCUCCCCGAAAUAGCUUUAGGGCUAGCCUCAAGGUGAGAGAUACGGAGGUAGAGCACUGAAUGUCCUAGGGGGUAUUGCACCUACCGAAGACUAUCAAACUCCGAAUGCCGUCAUCUUAUACUUGGGAGUCAGACUGUGGGUGAUAAGAUUCAUAGUCGAAAGGGCAACAGCCCAGAUCGUCAGCUAAGGUCCCUAAAUGUAAGUUAAGUGGUAAAGGAUGUGGGAUUGCACAGACAACCAGGAUGUUGGCUUAGAAGCAGCCACUCAUUCAAAGAGUGCGUAAUAGCUCACUGGUCGAGUGAUCCUGCGCCGAAGAUUUCCGGGGCUAAAACUUACUACCGAAGCUACGGCAUCAGUAAUGAUGGGUAGGGGAGCUUCCCAUACGGGUUGAAGCAUGACCGUAAGGACAUGUGGACAGUAUGGGAGUGAGAAUGUUGGCAUGAGUAGCGAGAUGUGGGUGAGAAUCCCACAGGCCGUAAACCCAAGGUUUCCAGGGGAAGGUUCGUCCGCCCUGGGUUAGUCGGGACCUAAGCUGAGGCCGAAAGGCGUAGGUGAUGGACAACAGGUUGAUAUUCCUGUACUACCGAUAACCGUUUGAGAGAAGGGAUGACACAGUAGGAUAAGCUAAGCACACUGUUGGUUAUGUGUGCCCAAGCAUUGAGGCAGUCAAAGUAGGCAAAUCCGCUUUGAUAAUGCUGGGAUGUGAUGGGGAGCGAAAUUUAGUAGCGAAGUAGCUGAUUUCACACUGUCAAGAAAAGUCUCUAUCGAGGUUAAAGGUACCCGUACCGCAAACCGACACAGGUGGGUGAGGAGAGUAUCCUAAGGCCAGCGAGAGAACUGUUGUUAAGGAACUCGGCAAAAUGACCCCGUAACUUAGGGAUAAGGGGUGCCACCAUCAGGUGGCCGCAGAGAAUAGGCCCAAGCGACUGUUUACCAAAAACAUAGGUUUCUGCUAAGUCGCAAGACGAUGUAUAGGAGCUGACGCCUGCCCGGUGCUGGAAGGUUAAGGGGAUCUGUUAGAGCAAUCGAAGCAGUGAACUUAAGCCCCAGUAAACGGCGGCCGUAACUAUAACGGUCCUAAGGUAGCGAAAUUCCUUGUCGGGUAAGUUCCGACCCGCACGAAAGGCGUAACGAUUUGGGCACUGUCUCAACAACAGACUCGGUGAAAUUGUAAUUCCGGUGAAGAUGCCGGAUACCUGCGACAGGACGGAAAGACCCCAUGGAGCUUUACUGUAGCUUGACAUUGGGUCUUGGUACUACAUGUACAGGAUAGGUGGGAGGCUUUGAAACCAGGACGCCAGUUUUGGCGGAGCCAUCCUUGGGAUACCACCCUUGUAGUACUGGGACUCUAACCAUAGGCCAUGAAUCUGGUCUUGGGACACUGUCAGGUGGGCAGUUUGACUGGGGCGGUCGCCUCCCAAAAGGUAAC